UACGUAGGGGGCAAGCGUUGUCCGGAAUCAUUGGGCGUAAAGAGCGUGUAGGCGGCCCGAUAAGUCCGCUGUGAAAGUCCAGGGCUCAACCCUGGAAUGCCGGUGGAUACUGUCGGGCUCGAAUCCGGAAGAGGUGAGUGGAAUUCCUGGUGUAGCGGUGAAAUGCGCGGAUAUCAGGAGGAACACCAAUGGCGAAGGCAGCUCACUGGGACGGUAUUGACGCUGAGACGCGAAAGCGUGGGGAGCAAACAGG
This 253-nucleotide ribosomal RNA is filed under the name uncultured bacterium. RNAcentral describes it as "partial 16S ribosomal RNA". It matches the Rfam family "Bacterial small subunit ribosomal RNA", at positions 524 to 776 of the family's 1533-position model. The record is from RNAcentral.